RNAcentral lists this unclassified non-coding RNA (334 nucleotides) under soil metagenome. RNAcentral's name for it is "partial contains 5.8S ribosomal RNA, internal transcribed spacer 2, and large subunit ribosomal RNA". The stretch from base 1 to 120 matches the Rfam family "5.8S ribosomal RNA", at positions 35 to 154 of the family's 154-position model. The record is from RNAcentral.
GAUGAAGAACGUAGCGAAAUGCGAUAAGUAAUGUGAAUUGCAGAAUUCAGUGAAUCAUCGAAUCUUUGAACGCACAUUGCGCCCCGUGGUAUUCCGCGGGGCAUGCCUGUUCGAGCGUCAUUACACCACUCAAGCCUCGCUUGGUAUUGGGCGACGCGGUACGCCGCGCGCCUCAAAUCUUCCGGCUGGUUCGAAUCGUCCCUCAGCGUUGUGGAAACUAUUCGCUAAAGGUGCGCGUUUCGGUCACGCCGUUAAACAAGCCAAUUUCAUUAAAGGUUGACCUCGGAUCAGGUAGGGAUACCCGCUGAACUUAAGCAUAUCAAUAAGCGGAGGA